RNAcentral lists this unclassified non-coding RNA (683 nucleotides) under Hevea brasiliensis (rubber tree). The record is from RNAcentral. Lineage: Eukaryota; Viridiplantae; Streptophyta; Magnoliopsida; Malpighiales; Euphorbiaceae.
AAGAAAGACCAAGCACCAAACCCCUGAUACCAUAAACAAACUAUAAGAAAAACAACACCAUAACCACACACAAAACUGUAAAAAAACACUGAAAUAGAUUCGAUGUUUGAUUCAUGAAGACAUAAAGAUGACAUUGGAUCAGUUGAAUAAGGACUAAGCUAGAUAAGUUGCUUAACAUGCUUUCUUCUAUUAAUUCUAGCGAGCAACCAAUAGGAGCAGAACCUAUAAAAUGGGGGCUAGUCAAGAUAUUCUAGAUGCAUCUAGACAUGAUAGAGACAAUUUCAACUACAAGAUACAGUAAGUGACAUCACUAAGAAGCUCAAAUAAGAAAUUCCAGACUAUGAUGGUAGAGUAGAUUCUAUGCUGUUUUGUAAGAAUCCGACUUUGAUUGGCAUAAACCUUCACCUUAUAAAAACAAGAUUAAUGAAUAAAGGAAAAUUUUAGAAUUAUGCUCCAGAUUUAAUAUAGGUCCAUUGGGAUGAUAUACAGUGCCUCCUAGUCCUUUAAGAGUCUUGGCUAAGUCUUAGGAGUAUUUUUGUAUUUUCCAACUUUUCUAAAAAGCUGUCUAGAUGUCUUUUGGAGUCUUUAUUUUCAUUUUGACUAAUUAUUCAUUUAGGAUAGCAAUAAUCCUAUUAUUUUUCUUUCACGGAGUGUCCAAAGUCUUAAAGGUUUAAGAUUAAUUU